This 712-nucleotide ribosomal RNA is filed under the name Pseudomonas sp. 110623_PC_C1_C9. RNAcentral's name for it is "bacterial SSU rRNA". It matches the Rfam family "Bacterial small subunit ribosomal RNA", at positions 37 to 744 of the family's 1533-position model. The record is from RNAcentral. Lineage: Bacteria; Pseudomonadati; Pseudomonadota; Gammaproteobacteria; Pseudomonadales; Pseudomonadaceae.
UGGCGGCAGGCCUAACACAUGCAAGUCGAGCGGUAGAGAGAAGCUUGCUUCUCUUGAGAGCGGCGGACGGGUGAGUAAUGCCUAGGAAUCUGCCUGGUAGUGGGGGAUAACGUUCGGAAACGAACGCUAAUACCGCAUACGUCCUACGGGAGAAAGCAGGGGACCUUCGGGCCUUGCGCUAUCAGAUGAGCCUAGGUCGGAUUAGCUAGUUGGUGAGGUAAUGGCUCACCAAGGCGACGAUCCGUAACUGGUCUGAGAGGAUGAUCAGUCACACUGGAACUGAGACACGGUCCAGACUCCUACGGGAGGCAGCAGUGGGGAAUAUUGGACAAUGGGCGAAAGCCUGAUCCAGCCAUGCCGCGUGUGUGAAGAAGGUCUUCGGAUUGUAAAGCACUUUAAGUUGGGAGGAAGGGCAGUUACCUAAUACGUGAUUGUUUUGACGUUACCGACAGAAUAAGCACCGGCUAACUCUGUGCCAGCAGCCGCGGUAAUACAGAGGGUGCAAGCGUUAAUCGGAAUUACUGGGCGUAAAGCGCGCGUAGGUGGUUUGUUAAGUUGGAUGUGAAAUCCCCGGGCUCAACCUGGGAACUGCAUUCAAAACUGACUGACUAGAGUAUGGUAGAGGGUGGUGGAAUUUCCUGUGUAGCGGUGAAAUGCGUAGAUAUAGGAAGGAACACCAGUGGCGAAGGCGACCACCUGGACUAAUACUGAC